GUACCCAAAAAUACACUUUUCUAUCAAACAUCUAUCUCCCUCUCGCCUGAUUCCCCUUUCUCGCCCAACUUCCAUGACCAUGACGCUGCCGCCACCGCCACCAAUUGUUUUGAGGAACAUACUAGCGCCACCACAAGCCAGCCACACCGUGAGCCCCCAGCCUCCAUGAUGGCCGCAACAGGCCACCAUGCGUGCGCUAGCAGCCGCCGCUACCGAACUGGCCUGGCCAGAUCUGGGCCCAAGCGUACAUGAGAGCAGCAGCUCCGUGCACCACCGACCACCGCCUCCACCGUACCUCUCCGCUGCAAGAAGGCACCAGCGCCGGAGCCCUGGAGGAGCCACCCCGCCGCCGUGUCCCCCACCGCGUAGACCACUACCUGCCUCCACGAGGUCCCCCAACUCGUGAGCGCGACACUUGACUCCGGGAGAAACGGAUCUCGCCGGGGCGGCCCUGCACGGGAUUUGACCGUCGGAGGUUGGUGGUGAUGGAGAGAGGGAGGAGGUGGAGCCAGCAACAUUGUAGGGCCGGUUUUGGUGGUAACACAUGCUCACCUUCAGUUCAAACCAACAACAAUGAUCAUGAACUGGUACCCUGUUUGUUUAUUUGGAGCACACACAGAUGAGUCGUGGUGCACACCAUUGCAUAGUGUCGAAGUAUGGGUUGUAACCUUCCUAUUAUAUACACAAGUGAUUUAUUCUGAACCCUAGUGCCACGGGUGUCUGGCACGAUUCUCUCACCAAUGGUUUCUAGGCCCACUACCUCGCAUCUGCACACAAGUUGCUUCGCUCGGGCCUGACGGUGUUGUGCCUCGCAGGCUACCUAUGUCGGCGCUUAAUCUUGACUGCAGGUUGGAUCUGACACAAAUUGCCUUAUGGGCGCGUAAUGUAGCUACGGUUCAGUUGUUGAUGAUUCCCCCCUUCUGUUUUCAAGAUAAAACAUGCAUUGAACAUAUGAUUAACUCUAUUUACAUCUAUGCAGGAGCUCCAGGCUUCCUCUACAUUGGCUUCGGGUUGUCAUACCAUGAAAUAUCCAAGCUCUGCAAAUCAAUUCUGCGCUGAAGUUGUACUGCUCCAUGACAAGUAGCUUCAGGGCAGAUAGAUAUGUACAGAUUACUACAUCAUCGGAGAGUAAGAUUGUGGUGGUGGUGCGGUCAGAGUGGAACCAAACUUCCUAUAGCGGCUCAGUCUAGUAUGAUCAUGCUAUCCAGCAAGGCUGCGUCAGGGGCUCAGGCCAGGCAUGAUGGCAAGCAGAGUGGAUUAGAAAGUUCUGAGAAUGCACUCAUGGAUUGAAAAUUUCUAAUGUCCGAAGUUGUAGUUCUCAGGUUGAUGAGAAGUUCAAUACUAGGUGACUACUUGGAUCCUUGGAUAAUUUAUGCUGAUCUUUGGUACUUGGAGGAGAGUGAAGACAGUUCACAGAAUUUUAGAAAUUUAUAUGCUUUAAAAUGUUUCAUUUUCUAGGAAAUUGAUGUACUCCUAAUAGAUGAUACUUGCAUUGCAAUGUAACAGAUUAUGCCAUUGAAUCAAUAUAUUAGUUUCAUUCUAUGAA
This is a non-coding RNA of Triticum urartu, 1546 nucleotides long. Lineage: Eukaryota; Viridiplantae; Streptophyta; Magnoliopsida; Poales; Poaceae. The record is from RefSeq and is a predicted model, not a curated record.